GCGUGCUUGGCGUUAAGCUCGGGUUUCUUCUCGCUCCUAAGGAAACAUUAUGGAAUUAAUAAUGCACGACUCUGAGACCACCAAGCACAAAGUACAUGAUGCUGCUGACCACAAAACCAAAGGGGAAAAAAGUACUGAGCGUUGGAGUGGCAUAAAGGAGGUUUGGGAUUUACGACUCAAGAGAUCAUAAAAGUACUAUAUAAGCCUGAGCUGCUGGGAUGAUUGGCACAGAAGGGUCAGACAGCAAAGGUAUGUGCACUUUUUAAUAUACUACUUAAAUGCAUGAGGAUUAUGCAUGGUUAUUU
This 305-nucleotide long non-coding RNA is filed under the name Astyanax mexicanus (Mexican tetra). Its description in RNAcentral is "lncRNA (ENSAMXG00005023892.1)". The record is from RNAcentral. Lineage: Eukaryota; Metazoa; Chordata; Actinopteri; Characiformes; Acestrorhamphidae.